Molecule: long non-coding RNA, 629 nt
Organism: Physeter macrocephalus (sperm whale)
Lineage: Eukaryota; Metazoa; Chordata; Mammalia; Artiodactyla; Physeteridae
Exons: 3
Source: RefSeq, a predicted model, not a curated record
GCGGUCUGAGGUGGGGAAUCAGAGCGAUUCCCAGCCUCCGAGAAAGGGGAGCCGAUUUUUCAGAUUCGGGCUCGUUUCUGGCGCGAGACAGCGAAGGCUCUGAGAAAGGGGAACGCGGCGGCGGCGAUGGGACGACAGGACGGUGUUGGGGACGCCCUGGGGGGAACUCACUUUGACUAUAUGUUUAGAAAGAAGAGUUGCCGUGUACAAGCAACUGAGGACAUUUAGCAGGACCUCACUCUUCCCAGGAGACCACUUCAGGUCAGCCUCCUGUUCUCAUUCUCAGUGAAGAUACCUCCGUCUCUCAGCUCCAGCCCAGACUGGACAUCCUGUUGUCUACUGAGAGAGUCCAGUGAAGAACCUCUUCUCUCUAUUGUUCCAACCACUGGUUAAGAUGUGGGUACUGAAGAGGCCUUAUAUAUGACCAAGAUGGAAGAGCAUAUGUGAUUCCUAGACAGAAACAGUGAAGGUUUCUAAAGGGCUCCUUAGCAGGGAGAGUUUGGCUUGAACUCCAAAGUCAGCCACACUGCCUUGUAUAUUGAAUUUAUUUAAAUUGCUAGCCUCAUCCAGUUAAUUAAUCCAAUUAAUUGUGUUUAAAUUUCUCACCUCAUCCAAUUAAAAAAUCAUUU